GCCGAACGCUGGCGGCGUGCCUAAUACAUGCAAGUCGAACGCAGUGGGGACGGGUGAGUAACACGUUGGUAACCUCCCAUCAGAGGGGAUAACACUUGGAAACAGGUCCUAUACUGAUACUGAUGGAUGGUCCCGCGGUGCAUUAGCUAGUUGGUGGGGUAACGGCUCACCCAGGCCACGAUGCAUAGCCGACCUGAGAGGGUGAUCGGCCACACUGUAACUGAGACACGGCCCAGACCCCUACGGGAGGCAGCAGUGGGGAAUCGGCGGCAAUGGGCGAAAGUCUGACCGAGCAACGCCGCGUGAGGGAAGAGGGUGUUCGGAUCGUAAAACUCUAGUGUUAGAGAAGCGGUAUCUAACCAGAAAGCCACGGCUAACUACGUGCCAGCAGCCGCGGUAAUAC
This 403-nucleotide ribosomal RNA is filed under the name uncultured bacterium. RNAcentral's name for it is "partial 16S ribosomal RNA". It matches the Rfam family "Bacterial small subunit ribosomal RNA", at positions 28 to 526 of the family's 1533-position model. The record is from RNAcentral.